GUGGUGGCUCAGUGGCGGAGCGCUUGCCUCACAUGCAUGAGUCACUGGGUUCGAUUCUCAGGACCACA
RNAcentral lists this transfer RNA (68 nucleotides) under Ictidomys tridecemlineatus (thirteen-lined ground squirrel). RNAcentral's name for it is "Spermophilus tridecemlineatus (thirteen-lined ground squirrel) tRNA". It matches the Rfam family "tRNA". From Rfam's summary of the family: Transfer RNA (tRNA) molecules are approximately 80 nucleotides in length. Their secondary structure includes four short double-helical elements and three loops (D, anti-codon, and T loops). The record is from Rfam by way of RNAcentral. Lineage: Eukaryota; Metazoa; Chordata; Mammalia; Rodentia; Sciuridae.